This is a long non-coding RNA of Bombus pyrosoma, 3063 nucleotides long. RefSeq lists it as uncharacterized. The record is from RefSeq and is a predicted model, not a curated record. The transcript has 3 exons. NCBI's taxonomy places the organism in Eukaryota, Metazoa, Arthropoda, Insecta, Hymenoptera, Apidae.
CCAUGGAAAUAUUAUAUAUUACAUAUUAUACAUAUUUAUAAAUAUUAUAAACUGUACUACAUAUUACAUAUUAUAUACCACAUGUUAUACAUUAUUUUACACAAAUUUCAAAGUUGAAAAUGCAUUUAUAAUCUAACAUAUUAUCCCAAUCGCCUCAUUCACAAGUGUAAAUAUAUUAUUAAAUGAUAAAAAUGUAGAUAAAAUGCAAACUUCUGUUGAGUUCGAAUCCAAACUAACAGCUUUCUAAGCAACUACCAUAACGUUAUACUAUUACUAUUGGGUUGUCCGGAAAGUUCGUUCCGAUUUACAUUUCGAUUCAAUAUACAUUUAUUGAAUCAUAUAGAUGGCAUUUUGUUCCACAACUUUUCUCCAUCUUUCACGUAAAUCGAAUAUUCCAUCCUUCCAGAACCUCUCAGGUUUUUCGGCGAAAAUCUUUUCAAUAUGAUCUUUCAUGUCGACGAAAUUCCUUAAAAAUCGAAAUGAACUUUCUGGGCAAUCAAAUAGUUUACAAUAUGUAGUAUUUUAUCGAGGCUUGAAGCUAAGACAAAGACGAAUUAGGACUAAAUAUUAUCAAUAAUUAAAGAUUAUAAUCAAAUCUAAUCGAAGAAUAUAAUCAACCAUAUAUAAACCAAUACUAAUAUAAAUAUAUCAAUAACUAAGGCUAAAUACUAUCGAAGACUUAUACAAACUAUAGUAAUACACACGUAUACUUAUUAUGUUAGUUGAAUAGUAUGUACGAGGAUUCUACAUAUAUAGUAAUUACCAUAUACAGUUGUAUAAUAUGUAUUUAUGCGCAGAGCAUACAUAAUUCUAUUGAAUACAUUGCUUGUCGCCUGUGGUUCAGGUCAAUCAUCAAUAAAGGUUGGUAUUCUCCCUAUAAUUGUCGCAAUAACCAAUGUCUGAAGUCGAACAGAAUAGUUGUUCAGUUCGUGAAGUAUUCUUUUGUCUUGUAGUUUUCGACUGUGAUGGUAAAUUAUAAGCAUAUUUUCUGAAUCCUGAAUCAGACCUUGCGCCUCUAAAUGUACGAAUUUUUCGAUCGAGGUGUAUCCAGUUUAUUUUGUAAUUUCGAAGUAUUAAGGGUAGGUGGAACUAAACAUUAAGCUGUUAUCUUCGAUGUCUCUUACUUUGGUCCAGUAGUUCCUAAUUAUUUUCAGUAUGAGGAGGCCAAUUCUUAUGAUAUUAGCUUUAUCGUGUAGAUCGUCUUUGUUAACAUAUUUUGUAUCAAUCUUUGCCCGUGACUUUAUUUACGUGGGACCCUGUGAGUUUGAUGGAUAUUUAUUAUAUUUGUUUUACUGUAUUUGUUUUAUGCUAUCUAGAUGAGGCCAUCAUCUCACGCAGUAUCUGAUACUUUGUCCAGGUCAAUUAGUACUGUCCGAAGCAUUGAUUUAUAUUGCUUGCCCAAGAAAUGUUAACUGUAAACUGUGUUGUGCUUGAAACUGUGUCGAGUUUUGAGGAUCAUGUUGUGCUUAUGGUAAUAAACAAAUAGCACGAUCAUCCGAUAAGAUUAUCUUCUUGCAGAGGAUUCAUGGGGAGAGAUUUGCAGUUUUCCAUAUUCUAGGAAAGUAUUUUAGAUUUAAACAGAUUUAAACAGAAUGAUACUGUGUAGUGGUUUGUUAAUGUUAACUACAGCUUCCACAUAGUGCCAUUUCAAAUGCGAUUUCCACAACUGUGACUCCCUCUUGUAAGUAUUUAAUCAAGUGAUUUUCCCAACGAAAUAGCCGACCUACAUAUUAAUACAGGACGAGAGAACUCAUAGAUACUCAACAUACUGACUCAACCGUUUCACAUUUUUCACAAGUGACUGUGGCUGAUCUGUAACGUGCAUAUAUAUAUAUACAUCCACACACAUACGUGUACACAUAUACGCGUACAUACAUUCGAUGGAUACGAAGGUACAAUGGAGAUGAAACUGAUAAUGUGGAGCAAACAACUGCGAGAAUUUGAUAAUUUUAUGCCGCAUAUUUCCGUAGUUAAAAAGCUAUUUCUGAGUCAACGCUUUUAAUUUUUCAUGUUUAUCGUGUUCUCAAUAGCUGAGUCAUAAUAAUCCCAAUAGUCAUACUGACUCGCCAAUCCUAAUCGAAGUUCGUUCGGGUAUUGCUAGAACUUGUACAGAAUCUGUAUAUCCUUGGUAGCAUUACUCACAUUUUUCUCGUCAAAGAUCAGGGUAAUAAACAAUGUAUAACGCACGAGCAUUCUGAUCAGGCACUUUCGUUUUGAGACUUGCUAGACAUCGAAUCUAGCAAAGUCAGUCUCGUGCGAGCUUUUUAGAGCUCCAAGCAGUUGUAGAGUAAACUAGUCUCUCAGUAGUCAGAGAGAACAGUUUCGAAUCGCUAACAUCAUGAAGCAGUUCCUGAAGAGCUUGAUAUUGUAGAUUAAUUUACUCAGUCGGUAACGUUAGACGAAGCAACGGAUCCUCACGACAUAUUAAAUGUAUUAAGUUUAAUGCAGAAUAUAUUAAUAAUGAAGGUAGAGAUGAGGAAUUAGAAAGAAAUAUUAAAUUCAGAUGUUAGGGGCAAAAGCGAAAGAAAACAUGAUAGUAAAUAAUACAGAGACAAACUUAACUGCACAUAGGAGAACAAUAUAUUUAACGGUACAUCCAUGAUUUUGAAUUUUGAUGUUGAAUAAUGUGCAGACAAAUUAAUGAAAAACUAAAACCUGGACAAUAAAGUGAACUCUGUCAGGCGCUUUUAGAUUGUCGUGUAGAAAUGAGAACAUAUAAAAAUUCUUUAGAUUUUUGUUUAGUCGGUUUUGUGUGAUCAAUAAAAUGUAUGUCACAUCAUUUGAGAAAAUUUCUCAGGAUUCGUAUCAUACAGCAUGCCGUUUAGAUAUAAAUAAAUUCCGUAAUGUAGCAAAGUUUCUUCGCUCACUUACUACUUACUGAUCCUAUAUCGUGGCAAAUAUUAUCUCGUAUAAAAUUAAUCCGACAAAUUCCAACAGGAUAUUUAUCAAAAUUUUAUUUCAAGAACUUACCGAAUACGUGCGAGUAUCUGAACUUUAAUCAAAGUGUGAAAUACAUUACGUUAAAGCAUACAUUUGAAGGUUUGCUAUCGCAAUAAAUCCUCU